UACCGUGGUAGACAAGGCCAGGAGGGCCUCUGUUCCUGUGGGCUUCCGUUCUAGUGGCGAGCCACGUGCAGCGUGGUUGCUGGAGACGCGGGACGCUUUCCUGACUUGCAUAAGAAAUGGGCACGAGGGCAAGGCUCUGUGCUAGGUUUUGUGGCAACUGAAAGAUGAAUCAGAGGCAUUUCCAGCUCUCCAGAGUGUCACUGAGUGGAGACAGACUCGUGCAUGGAAUCACACCCAAGGCAGACAGUGUAAGUGAUGUCAUGGAAAUACAACCAUGCAGACAGAUGCAGUUUCACCCUCAUAGCUCUGCUAUGAGGUAGGCAGACCCUGCCCUAUAUGAAGAAGAUGAGGCAUAGAGAAGAUGAGUAAUUCACCUGUGCCACAGC
RNAcentral lists this long non-coding RNA (386 nucleotides) under Homo sapiens (human). RNAcentral's name for it is "HSALNT0157631". The record is from RNAcentral. Lineage: Eukaryota; Metazoa; Chordata; Mammalia; Primates; Hominidae.